AUUUUCAAUUCUGUCAUUUAUCGUUAUUUCUGGUUGAAAUGGUAUAUCUUCAUCCCCUUCUUGUGAAUUGUCCUCGGUAUUCCCUUCCUCCACGUUAUUUGAAGUUAACUACAGAAUUAUUGUAAUCGGGAUUAUUAAAAUUACUGACUUACCUCUUCUUCCGCUGAAACUCCCAGCGAACGUUUUAAUCUUUCCACCAAACCUGAGGAUCUUUUUUCAUCUGAUGGUGCAUCAAUUAUUUCCUCUUCUUUUUUUGUCUGAAUUUUAAUAGCUUCAUUCGUAUUUUUAUGGUUAUGUAAAUUUUCUUUUUUAUCGCCUUCACUUUCUCCCAAAUCUUUGACAUUCUCGAUUUGGUAUGCAGUGUUUCCAUUAGAAUGCUGCUGAAUAUCGUCUAUAAAAGAUAAUGGUCCAUUCAUUUUAUUUGAUUGAACUUCUGUAUUUUCUUCAUUGUUUGAUGGGCCUUGUGUUUCCGCAGCAAAUUCCCUUUAAACGAAGUCAAUAAAUCUAGUUUCACUUCUAAGCAACUUACCUAAAAUUUUGGAGUUCAUUUGAAACAGCCUUUUCAAUUUCUCUUUUCCUCUCUUCAAUACUUUCACUCUGAAAAACAUUAAUUGAACAUUUGUGUAAUUUAUACUUACUUGAAUUUUCCUCCAUUUUUGAUUAUGUAGAUCUGCCUGAUUUAAUGCGCAAGUUAUUUUUAUACAAGAAUUAUAUUGCUUUGGGAAGCAUUUAGGGCUUUUACAGAUAUACUUUGCCUUAAUUGAGCUUAUAACCCCUGAUAUUCCAUUACUUUUAAAUAUGCCAAUAGGAACUGAGAUAGAAUUGGAUCUAAAAAGUUGUUCAAACCUCAAAAAGUGGCUAAAUAAUACUUACGUUACUAAUUUUUGUCUGGUAGUUAGCCUUCCAAUGAAAUUAGAUGGCUUUCUGCAUAUCUCUUCACUAUCAAGUUUUGAAUCAACCAUGAAUUGAAAUGCCGCAAACUUAUUUUUCUUAAACCCUACUCUUGAACGAUUUUUAACAUUAUAAUAUUGCAAGAAAAUGUGAACAGUAAGAGGUACAAAUCCAUCAAUAAC
This 1073-nucleotide non-coding RNA is filed under the name Cryptosporidium parvum. Lineage: Eukaryota; Apicomplexa; Conoidasida; Eucoccidiorida; Cryptosporidiidae. The record is from RNAcentral.